Molecule: transfer RNA, 68 nt
Filed under: Marmota monax (woodchuck)
Lineage: Eukaryota; Metazoa; Chordata; Mammalia; Rodentia; Sciuridae
Description: tRNA.Undet
Source: RNAcentral
GGUUGUGGUUUAGUGGUAGAAUACUUGCUAGUAUGCACGAACCCUGGGUUCAAUCCCCAGUAUGACCA